AUACUUACCUAGCAGGGGAGAUACCAUGAUCAUGAAGGUGGUUUCUCCAGGGCGAGAAUCACCCAUUGCACUUCAUGUAUGCUGACCCCUGCGAUUUCCCCAAAUGUGGGAAACUCGACUGCACAAUUUGUGGUAGUAGGGGAAUGCGUUCACACUCUCCCCUG
Molecule: small nuclear RNA, 164 nt
Organism: Suncus etruscus (white-toothed pygmy shrew)
Lineage: Eukaryota; Metazoa; Chordata; Mammalia; Eulipotyphla; Soricidae
Product: U1 spliceosomal RNA
Exons: 1
Source: RefSeq, a predicted model, not a curated record